This 223-nucleotide ribosomal RNA is filed under the name uncultured bacterium. RNAcentral describes it as "partial 16S ribosomal RNA". It matches the Rfam family "Bacterial small subunit ribosomal RNA", at positions 113 to 334 of the family's 1533-position model. The record is from RNAcentral.
CGACGUGGUCAACCUUCCGUUGAAUGGGGGAUAACUAGCCGAAAGGUUAGCUAAUACCGCAUACGAUCUUUUGAAGGCAUCUUUAAAAGAUGAAAGGAGCAAUCCGUUCAACGACGGGACCGCGUCCCAUUAGCUAGAUGGUGGGGUAAUGGCCUACCAUGGCAACGAUGGGUAGCUGGUCUGAGAGGAUGAUCAGCCACACUGGGACUGAGACACGGCCCAG